GAUCAAGCGUCUGAAGGGCAUCUGGUGGAUGCCUUGGCACUGAGAGGCGAUGAAGGACGUAGCACGUUGCGAUAAGUCACGGGGAGCCGCGAGCAGGCAUUGAUCCGUGAAUUUCCGAAUGGGGAAACCCACCGCGUCAAGCGGUAUCCCACACUGAAUCCAUAGGUGUGGGAAGCGAACCCGGCGAACUGAAACAUCUAAGUAGCCGGAGGAAAGGACAUCAACCGAGACUCCGCUAGUAGUGGCGAGCGAACGCGGACCAGGCCAGUCAUUCGAUCUACAUAACCGGAACCGUCUGGAAAGUCGGGCCAUAGCGGGUGAUAGCCCCGUACGGAUAAACCGGAUCGAAUGCUCGAGUAGGGCGGGGCACGUGAAACCCUGUCUGAACAUGGGGGGACCACCCUCCAAGCCUAAGUACUCCUCAGUGACCGAUAGUGCACCAGUACCGUGAGGGAAAGGUGAAAAGCACCCCGACAAGGGGAGUGAAACAGUUCCUGAAACCGGAUGCCUACAAGCAGUCGGAGCCUCUUCAUGGGGUGACGGCGUACCUUUUGUAUAAUGGGUCAGCGACUUAGAGUAUGCAGCGAGCUUAAGCCGGUAGGUGGAGGCGCAGCGAAAGCGAGUCUGAAUAGGGCGACCGAGUUGCAUGCUUUAGACCCGAAACCUGAUGAUCUAGCCAUGGGCAGGUUGAAGGUGCGGUAACACGCACUGGAGGACCGAACUCACGCCUGUUGAAAAAGUCGGAGAUGACCUGUGGCUAGGGGUGAAAGGCCAAUCAAAUCAGGAAAUAGCUGGUUCUCCGCGAAAGCUAUUUAGGUAGCGCGUCGCGUAUUGCCGCGGGGGGUAGAGCACUGGAUGGGCUAGGGGGGCGCGAGCCUUACCAAACCUAACCAAACUCCGAAUACCCGUGAGCAGAGCGCGGCAGACAGACGGUGGGUGCUAAGGUCCAUCGUCGAGAGGGAAACAGCCCAGACCGCCAGCUAAGGUCCCCAAAUCACGGCUAAGUGGGAAAGGAUGUGGGAAGGCCAUGACAACCAGGAGGUUGGCUUAGAAGCAGCCAUCCUUUAAAGAAAGCGUAAUAGCUCACUGGUCUAGUUAAGCCGGCCUGCGCCGAAAAUGUAUCGGGGCUCAAGCCGUGUACCGAAGCUGCGGGUGUGAUCUUCGAUCACGCGGUAGCGGAGCGUUCCGUAAGCCUGCGAAGGGUGUCCGUGAGGCCGCCUGGAGGUAUCGGAAGUGAGAAUGCUGACAUGAGUAGCGACAAACAGUGUGAGAAACACUGUCGCCGAAAGUCCAAGGGUUCCUGCGCAAGGUUAAUCCACGCAGGGUGAGCCGGCCCCUAAGGCGAGGCCGAAAGGCGUAGUCGAUGGGAACCAGGUUAAUAGUCCUGGGCCUGGCGGAGGUGACGGAUGGGAAAGCGUGUAUGUCCUUAUCGGAUUGGACAUGCUGUGGACCUGUUCCAGGAAAUAGCCCCGCCGUAUAGACCGUACCCCAAACCGACACAGGUGGACUGGUAGAGUAUACCCAGGCGCUUGAGAGAAUGGUGUUGAAGGAACUCGGCAAAUUGCCCUCGUAACUUCGGAAGAAGAGGGCCCCGUUGUGGCGCAAGCCAUGGCGGGGGGCACAGACCAGGGGGUAGCGACUGUUUACUAAAAACACAGGGCUCUGCGAAGCCACACAAGGCGACGUAUAGGGUCUGACGCCUGCCCGGUGCCGGAAGGUUAAGAGGAGAGGUGCAAGCCUUGAAUUGAAGCCCCGGUAAACGGCGGCCGUAACUAUAACGGUCCUAAGGUAGCGAAAUUCCUUGUCGGGUAAGUUCCGACCUGCACGAAUGGCGUAACGACUUCCCCGCUGUCUCCAACACCAACUCAGCGAAAUUGAACUCUCCGUGAAGAUGCGGAGUUCCCGCGGUCAGACGGAAAGACCCCGUGCACCUUUACUACAGCUUUGCAGUGGUGCUAGGGACUUCAUGUGUAGGAUAGGUGGGAGGCUUGGAAGCCUGGGCGCCAGCCCGGGUGGAGCCAACCUUGAAAUACCACCCUUGAAGUCUCUGGCAUCUAACCGUGGCCCGUUACCCGGGUCCGGGACCCUGCAUGGCGGGUAGUUUGACUGGGGCGGUCGCCUCCCAAAGUGUAACGGAGGCGCGCGAUGGUGGGCUCAGAGCGGUCGGAAAUCGCUCGUCGAGUGCAAUGGCAUAAGCCCGCCUGACUGCAAGACUGACAAGUCGAGCAGAGACGAAAGUCGGCCAUAGUGAUCCGGUGGCUCCACGUGGACGGGCCAUCGCUCAACGGAUAAAAGGUACGCCGGGGAUAACAGGCUGAUGACUCCCAAGAGUCCAUAUCGACGGAGUCGUUUGGCACCUCGAUGUCGGCUCAUCACAUCCUGGGGCUGGAGCAGGUCCCAAGGGUUCGGCUGUUCGCCGAUUAAAGUGGUACGUGAGCUGGGUUUAGAACGUCGUGAGACAGUUCGGUCCCUAUCUGCCGUGGGUGUCGGAGUUUUGCGAGGAUCUGUCCCUAGUACGAGAGGACCGGGAUGGACAUACCUCUGGUGCACCGGUUGUCACGCCAGUGGCAUGGCCGGGUAGCUAAGUAUGGACGGGAUAACCGCUGAAAGCAUCUAAGCGGGAAACCCACCUCUAAACCAGAGCUCCCUUGAGAGCCGUGACAGACCAUCACGUCGAUAGGAGGCAUGUGGACGGGCAGCAAUGCCUGAAGCUAAGCCUUACUAAUCGCUCGAUCGGCUUGAUCUC
Azospirillum lipoferum 4B is the source of this 2746-nucleotide non-coding RNA. The record is from Rfam. Lineage: Bacteria; Pseudomonadati; Pseudomonadota; Alphaproteobacteria; Rhodospirillales; Azospirillaceae.